GGCCCACUCUUGUGAUCAUGGGGUGGGCAGCAGUUGGCAUGUGUAAGGAGUCAUUCCCCAACAUAAAGACAGAUAUUAGGCCAAAAUCAUUGACAAAUACUAUACCAUGUAUGCUCUUUUAGGGAAUAUAACACUUGAGAAAUGUGAACUUUCUGUCAAGAUUUCACUAAUCUAGCUUAAUGUGAGAUGAUCAAAACUUUGUUUUUGAAGUAUCAGCAGUAUCAGUAAUUCUGUGAAAUAAUCUGAACUCAUUUGGAGAAAUCAAGUGAGAAUUUCCUAUUUAUUUUUAUGUUACCUUCACAAGGGCCAUAGCAAAAGAUUAUAAAUAAAAUGGCAAUCCUUUUCUGAUUGGCUGGGGUGGAUGACAGACAGUAUUUCAGUUUGGUCACUUCUCUGAAAGGCUUCCCAGGUGGCUCAGUGGUAAAGAAUCCACCUGCCAAUACAGGAGACGAGUUGGGAAGGUCUCACUGGAAGAUGAAAUGGCAACCCACUGCAGUAUUAUUGCCCGGAGAAUCCCAUGGACAGAGGAGCCUGGUGGGUUUCAGUCCAUGGGGUCACAAAAGAGUUGGAUGGGACUUAGCAACUGACCACAUACACUUCCCUGAAGCAGGGGGUGGGGUCAAAGCUCAGAUGAGGGGGCACUCUAAAGAAAUAGAACACUAGAAGAAAGGGGGAUGGCUCAUCUUUCUCUAGAGGUCAUUCUGGAAAAGGGACUGAGUAGAGAGUGUGGUGAUGAGGAAAAAUAAAAUUACAUUGUGAAGCAAAUCUCUAAUUCAAAAGUUGAAAUUUCAGUGUUAUCAGAUACUGAGUAUAAGAGAACAAUGGGGAGAGUUAAACAUUCUGUGGGGAGUGUAGCAGGAGAAACAAGGACAGACUUACCAAGGAGCAAAGGAAGAUAAUGCAGAGGAAGGAAAAGUGAAUUAGAAGAGAGAGCGGGGCUAGGAUAAUAGCUAACACCUGCUGAUUAGUUAUCUGUGUCAGGAAACGUCCUCUGUGUUUGCAUGAACUAUUAUAUUUACACUACAUAGUAUAAAUGAGGUAAGUACUUUUAAUAUUCACAUUUCGUAGAUAGGAAAUCGAGGCCUAGAGAGGUGAAGGAACGCAGCUGGUAAGAAUUAGAGCCUCAGUUGGAACUCAGGCUGUCUGAGUCCAGUGUUUGCACUCACUGCCACAUAAAUAUGAGAGAGAAUUCAAAGAGGAAUAGUAGGGGGAAAAGAACAGACUACAAAGGUUUGUCUUAGGGCCAAAAAUGUCUUUAGAGAGAGUGAUGACUGCGUAUAGAACCAAAUGCAGGGAGUUGUAAAGUCUAUGGAACUCUGCAUAUUAUAAAAAUGAGAAAGGAUGUCAGUCUGGCUUAAAGUCAGACAGUGACUCAGUUACUCUAAAGAGGAAGAUUAGCAGUCAAAGUGAAAAUCAUAUGGUUUGUUUAUAACACAUAGGAUAUUUAAAAUGACUUCAUGGUGUUUUUAAUGUUAUUAUUUCGAAAACCUGAUUAGAAUUCAACCAAACUGUCUUGGUUGAGUUAUUCUUAAAGACAACUCUUAAAAGAAAAAGAAAAA
Molecule: long non-coding RNA, 1559 nt
Organism: Bos taurus (domestic cattle)
Lineage: Eukaryota; Metazoa; Chordata; Mammalia; Artiodactyla; Bovidae
Source: Ensembl